CCCGCACAAGCAGCGGAGCGUGUGGUUUAAUUCGAUGCAACACGAAAACCUUACCAAGGUUUGACAUGUCGGAAGUAGUGAACCGAAAGGGGAACGACCUGUUGAGUCAGGAGCCGUCACAGGUGCUGCAUGGCUGUCGUCAGCUCGUGCCGUGAGGUGUAUGGUUAAGUCCUGCAACGAGCGCAACCCUCGUCGCUAGUUGAUUUCUCUAGCGAGACUGCCCCGCAAAACGGGGAGGAAGGUGGGGAUGACGUCAAAUCAUCAUGCCCCUUAUGAUCCGGGCUACACACGUGCUACAAUGGGCUGUACAGAGGGAAGCGAAGGAGCGAUCCCAGGCCAAUCCCAAAAAGCAGCUCUCAGUUCGGAUUGCAGGCUGCAACUCGCCUGCAUGAAGUUGGAAUCGCUAGUAAUCGCGGAUCAGCAUGCCGCGGUCGAAUACGUUCCCGGGCCUU
This 452-nucleotide ribosomal RNA is filed under the name uncultured Chloroflexota bacterium. Its description in RNAcentral is "bacterial SSU rRNA". It matches the Rfam family "Bacterial small subunit ribosomal RNA", at positions 920 to 1382 of the family's 1533-position model. Lineage: Bacteria; Bacillati; Chloroflexota. The record is from RNAcentral.